RNAcentral lists this ribosomal RNA (549 nucleotides) under Knoellia sp. sed353. RNAcentral describes it as "bacterial SSU rRNA". It matches the Rfam family "Bacterial small subunit ribosomal RNA", at positions 82 to 645 of the family's 1533-position model. Lineage: Bacteria; Bacillati; Actinomycetota; Actinomycetes; Micrococcales; Intrasporangiaceae. The record is from RNAcentral.
UUCGGGGUGAACAGUGGCGAACGGGUGAGUAACACGUGAGUAACCUGCCCCUGACUCUGGAAUAAGCGCUGGAAACGGCGUCUAAUACCGGAUACGACACGCCUCCGCAUGGGGAGCGUGUGGAAAGUUUUUCGGUCUGGGAUGGACUCGCGGCCUAUCAGCUUGUUGGUGAGGUAAUGGCUCACCAAGGCGAUGACGGGUAGCCGGCCUGAGAGGGCGACCGGCCACACUGGGACUGAGACACGGCCCAGACUCCUACGGGAGGCAGCAGUGGGGAAUAUUGCACAAUGGGCGAAAGCCUGAUGCAGCGACGCCGCGUGAGGGAUGACGGCCUUCGGGUUGUAAACCUCUUUCAGCAGGGAAGAAGCGAAAGUGACGGUACCUGCAGAAGAAGCACCGGCUAACUACGUGCCAGCAGCCGCGGUAAUACGUAGGGUGCGAGCGUUGUCCGGAAUUAUUGGGCGUAAAGAGCUUGUAGGCGGUUUGUCGCGUCUGCCGUGAAAAUCCGGGGCUCAACCCCGGACUUGCGGUGGGUACGGGCAGACUAGA